CUCGCUUCUCUGGCUUUUUGAGUAGGAUCAAGUAUAGUAUCUGUUCUUCUCAGUUUCUCAUCUGAUACGUCCCAUAUCCGGGGACCUUAUAUUAGAUGGAUUUUGGAUAACGGGGGCCGAUUCCUAAGCCUGCUUCUGUCACCUUCUGUGCGUGACUGAUAGGGCAGUUUCUGCAGGUUCAGCGCAUCCCAA
Small nuclear RNA from Hyla sarda, 192 nucleotides. RefSeq annotates it as U2 spliceosomal RNA. The record is from RefSeq and is a predicted model, not a curated record. Lineage: Eukaryota; Metazoa; Chordata; Amphibia; Anura; Hylidae. The transcript has a single exon.